This 4584-nucleotide long non-coding RNA is filed under the name Mytilus galloprovincialis (Mediterranean mussel). The record is from RNAcentral. Lineage: Eukaryota; Metazoa; Mollusca; Bivalvia; Mytilida; Mytilidae.
UACCAGUUUUAAUAAUGAUUUAUGAUUAAUAUAAGCAAUUCACAGGUAUGUAUAACAAAUAUUACAAUAUAUGUGUAUCGAUUCUGAUAAAAAUAGAAUGUAAUUAAUUUUUUUCCCCUUUUUUUAACGAUAAAAAAAGUGGAGAGCAAUACCGUUAUCUCCACGCUUAUCGGUGAAAGGUGAAAUUAUUUCUCUAAAUCAGUUCCGAUCUAGACUUUUAAAUUAUUUUAUCUUUUUCUAUUCUUAUUUUUGCUAGAUUAUACAUUUGCAAACAUAAAAAUUAUUACAACAAUUUGACAACUUAGUCAAGUGAACAUUUAUUCUUAGUAUGUUUACUAGUUGCCUGCAAUUUUGUAAGCUGUACAUGAAUUCUGUUUUAAAUACAGAAUAUACAUCUAAAAGAUUUUGUUUUCUGUUCAGACAUAUAGUUUGCCUUGUAUAUACAAAACAUUUAUAAUUGUAAUCAAAUAGUUAAUUUCAUAGUAUUUUUUCAUCAUUUAUUUUAUAACCCCAAACUAAAUUUUUUAAUGUUAGAAUAUUAUUAUUAAUAUUCAGUUUUUUUCUAAGAGUGUUUUUACUUUUCUCCAGAAAUUAUCAAGAAAAUGACAUGUUAGAAACAUGUGAUCAUAAUCCUCUGUGGUGUUGCAAUAAUGACAAUUUGAAAUAUCGCAUAUCUUCCACGUUUUCAAUAAAACUUUACAAGGUAAAAUAAAUUGUAGCAAUUUCCAACGGAUCACUUUGUAUUUAUUAUCUUUUAAAAAAUAAUGAACAAACUUUAACAUAUUACAUGAAAGACUCUUAAUGUAUACAAGGUUAAGCUUUGUCUUCCAUUUAUAAAAACAACAACAGGUAUUUCAAUUUCAUUCUUAAUUAAUAUAUUAUAAAUUUUUCUGGUAUCUACAUUUUCUAAUUUUUUCUUUUUUAUUGCAAUUAUCAAUAAUAUGUAUUGCAUAGGGCGUUUUUACUUUAGUUUUCUUUGAGUUUUCCUGUUUUAAAAUCUUUAACCAUUCUCUUGGAAAUAGCUUUCUUUAAUUGGUAAAAUUCUGACAUCCAGUUACUUUUUAUUUUAAGCUUUUGUAAAAUAAAAUUUUCUUCUAUAUUACCAUUUUCAUCAAUGAUGUCAUUAAUAAAGAUAAAAUUACUAUUUAUCCAGUUUUGGAAUAAAAGGCAUUUAUUUUUUUAUCUUUAGUAACGAUUUCCACAAAUAACUUCUUGACGUAUAGAUCUAAAGUUUUUUGGCUGUUGUACUUUUUUUAUUAUUUAUCCAUGCUUUUACAAUGUUGAAAUAAAAUGUUGGCAGCUCCUUUAACUCUGGAAUAGAGUCAGUGUUAUCAAUAUUCAUGUGAAAGAUAAGGAAAUCUUUUCCAAACUUAUUAAAAUAAAAAAGUGGAAUAAUUUUCCAAUUUUUUAAAUCUCCAUUAAUUAACCUUUUGAUCCACCCAAUUUUGAUAGAUUCUAUAUAUAUUUAUCUAUGUUAAUCAUUUUUAAACCCCCAUCUAGUUCACCAAAAACUUAGUACUGUGCGUUUAACCUUUCUCUCUUUGCUUUUCCAUAAAAAAAUAUAGAUAAUUUUUUUAAAUUUAACAAUAUAUUCUUUUUCAAUAUGUGAAACAGAUGCGAAAAAGGUAAUGUUUGGUAUGAUCAAUGAUUUGAUAACUGUUUUUUUAUCGAUCAUGGUUAAAUGUCUUUUCUCCCAAUUUUUGAUAAUCCUUUCAGAUUUUUCUAUUUGUUUUUCUGCAUUUAGUUUUUGGCAUUCAUUUGUGUUACAACCGAAAAAAAUUCCUAAACAUUUCACUGGUUUGUUUGUAAAGUUGAUAUUUUCAUAUUGUUCUUUGCAAUGUUUGUGUUUUUCUAACCAAAUUCCUUCUGUUUUUGAUCUGUUUAAUUUAAGCCCUGACAAAGUGCCAAAAAUUUCAAUCAUGUUUAAUACUUUUGAAAUGUCUUGUUUUGUUUUUAAAAAAAAGUGUGGUGUUUUCUGCAAGUUGACUGAUUUUUAAAGAAUGUGUUUUCCCAUCUAUUUUGAUUUCAAAUCCUUUAAUAUUAUUGUCUUGUCUUAUUCUACAUGCUAAUAUCUCGACAGCAAUAACGAAAAUUAAAGCACUGCACAGACAUCCUUGUCUAAUCCCUCGAAAAAUGUUGAGGGGUUCAGAUAUCCACCCAUUAUUGAUCACUGAGCUUUCAAUAUCUGUAUACAGAAUUAGAGUUAAUUGCUUUGCCUCAAGAAUACCUUCUGGUGUUUUCAAAAGUCGCUUUGGUGACAGGUCUUUUCUUUCAGUGUUGCUCACUUCAACUUGUCCAUUAAGUUUAAUAAAUUCAUAGGGAUGUACGAUUUCAUCAUGAAAGACUCUUUCUUGUUUUUUAUCAACUAGUUCAUUAUCAAGAAGUUCUAAUAAAAUUUCUGCACGAAGAUCAGCAUUGUCAUAGUUUUUGUCUCAGUCCUUGGAUGGUGUAAACUUUCCACUAACACCAUACACCAUUACACCAUACACCAUACCCCAUUACACCAUACACCUUGUACCAUUACACCAUACACGUUACACCUUUGCACCAUACACCUUACACUUUACACCAUACACCAUUCCCCAUUCUAUCUACACGAUCCGAAAUUACCCAUAAUGCAAUUAAAUUUUAAAUAUUAAGAUUUUUAUUAUGUUUAUGCUAACAAUCCUAAAAAAUGAAAUAAAAAAAACUUCGUUUGCAACCAAUGAAAGGUCGUACAUAUCAUUCACACCAUUCCCGAUCGCACGUUACACAAUCACACCAUUCCUCAUACACCAUUACACCAUUACACCAUACACCAUAUGCCAUACACCAUUACACCAUACACGUUGUUUUGGGAAGUUUACACCAUCCAAGGGCUCGAUUUUUUGUUUUGGUAGCAAUUUCAGAAAAUGUUUUACAUUUUAAAUUUUUUAAACAUGCUGUUUUUCUUGCACUGAUUUAAAUAUCAUAUAUCCAUAAAAAUCAUGAUAUGUUACCGGCACCUCCAAUAUAAUGAGUGUGUUGCUAACGAGAUGAAUUUAAUGCGCUGGAAAAAUAGAAAAUUUGGUAUUUUGCCGGCUCGAGUUUAGCGGAAGCCAUGUUAAGAUCGAUCAAAAACUAUGAUGAUCACAUAUAUGCAAUAAAAUUUCAAAAGUAAAUUUGAAUUUAAACAUUAUUGAUUUUUAGAGAUAUGUGAUUGAUUUUGGUAUCAUUGUAUAAUAUCAGGAACAGUUACAUAAUAUAGAUAUACUGUCCCCCGAUAACAUUUCGUCAAAUUUAUGAUGCAAUGAGAUUUUUUAAGAUCGUUUUGGGUAAAGAUUGCAAUGCAAUCACACGUAUGUUACUUUUUGAUACACAAAAUAUAUAUUGAUUGAUCAUUUCUAUACAUCCUAUCCAUGAACAUUUCAAGAAUUUUAUCUCUGUAAUAUAUGCUCAUAUAUUCAAGUCACAAAAAAAUGUUACACCUGCCAAGAAAAUUACAUAACUUUUGCAAAAUGCAAUACUCUUAAUCUGUUUUAAAAAUAAAAAUGAUGACAUUGUGAAACGUAAUCUUUCAGUAAAAGUUAACGUGACGGUACCCAAAUUGCACCUAUUUUGACAGUUUUUUCACCGACGUUUUUUUAUGAUCAAGAAAAAAUGUCCAUACUGUGUUUAUUUUGUAGCCCUAUCCUUCUUGAUUGUAUAGGUACAAUUUAAAUUUUAAUUAUCCAUAUUGAGUCAUGAAAAAUGGGUUUGAAUCAACCUCCAAACUAUCAUAUGAUUCUGUAAUGAGGAGUAUCCAAAGCAUCCAUGCUUAAAUUCACAUCGUUCAAAAGUCUAAUAACCGGCUUUUUGUUUAAUUUCCUUCAAAUAUUUUGAACAUUGGAUAUUUGUCCAUGCUACUCUUCAUAUUUUACGAAAUGGAUACUAUAAUGUAUUGUAUUGCUAAUUUAAAAGAUGAGUUUUGAUGACGUCGCAUGGUGACGUUUUCGUACAUUUUGCUUUUUCAGUAAACAGUCCAUCUGUUGAUAAAAACUAUGAACGUUUUGUGUAUAUCUAAAUAUGUUUACCUUGGAAAGACGUGCAUAGUAUCAAAUCAUAAAAAUACAAAUUGUUUAGUCUCUAGGAAAUCUUGUAAAAUUUUUGUUGCUAUUUUUUUCUAAAUAGGUGCAAUUUGGGUACUCGGUGCAAUUUGGGUACCCUUACGUUAGAUUGAAAGACUUCCCAAGUAUGUUUUUAAAUAUGGAGUUUUGUGUUUUUUUUCUAAUUUACUUUAGUCUAAUGCUUCAAAAUUUGGUUUGAAUUCUGAUAUCCAUAUUUCUGAUCCAUAUUCAUUAAAGUUAAAAUAGGAGUUAUAGUCCACAAUAAAACCCGUAAUUAUUCGUAUCUAUUCGGUAUUAGCAUUUAGGGUUUUAUACAAAUAAUUUUCGUUUUUUUGUUGUACAGGACUCCUUGCCAAAACAGCAAUGUCAAACACUUUGUUUAGUGUCAGUCGUAUAUUAUUAAGUGUAAUAACAGAAGUUGCAGGACAUUGGGUUGACAAUUUACAUCAGUUGCAAAUGUAAACAGGAAGUGACCUUUGAACGUAGAGAACAGCUGUAUUACACGUGUUUUUGGUCAGAG